Acinonyx jubatus (cheetah) is the source of this 5344-nucleotide long non-coding RNA. RefSeq lists it as uncharacterized. Lineage: Eukaryota; Metazoa; Chordata; Mammalia; Carnivora; Felidae. The transcript is spliced from 3 exons. The record is from RefSeq and is a predicted model, not a curated record.
GAGGGAGGGAGGAAAGAAAGAAAGUAAGAAAGAAAGAAAGAGAAAGAAAGAAGCAAGCAAGCAGACAAGACCUGUGUGGAUGGAAUCAAGUAAACAAGAUGAGAGAGGAGAAGGAAAAGAGGUCAGAGAAAUAGGAAUGAGAUAGGAAAGGGCUUUUGUAAGUCAUGGUAAAGAGUUGGGAUUUUAUCCCAAGUGAAGUGGGGAACCUGUAGAGGGUUUUGAGGAGAGAAAUGACAUACCUUUCCAAAGUGUCGCUCUGCGUGGUCUGGUAUUCUGUGAAGAACACACUUGGAGCAAGGGCAGGGGCAGGGAAAAUGGUUAAGAAGCCACUGCAGUAGUUUGGGCAAGAGACAGUGGUGACCUGGACGAGGCUGGUGGUGGUGGAACUGGUAAGAAGUGACCAGAUUCUGAGUAUAAUUUGAAAAUAAAGCUGACGGCGUUUGGUGUUGGAAUUCCACAGGGGGUAAGAGAAAAGUAAAUGAGCCAAAGAUGAUUCAAGGAUUUUUUCUGAAAAAAUUAGAAACCUGUGUUUUAAUUUGCUGAGUUGGGGAAAGGCAGGGAAGAGUAGAUUUAGUGAUGGGAUGAUGGAGACAUGAACCAAAAAUUCAGUUUGGGCAUCCUAGGUGUAAGAGUCCUAUUUGUGACAGGGGUGUCAAGCCCCACCCCAUUUCUUAUUGACUCACCUCAGAGUUCACCUGUAUGUGUGAUGGGCGAUUUCUAUAUGCCAAGUCAACUUCUCAUCUGAGACACCUGUACACAUUCUCCAGUACAGAGGAGCUUACUAGAUUGUGUGUGGGCCACCUAGAAGAGCUUAUGACUACUCCCAGGGGUAACCUACAUACAUUGAGGAACUAGGGGUAACUUACAUACAUUGAGGGACUACUUAUACAGCGGUUCCACACUCUCCAGAGGGACGAUGCCGAAACAUUUCCGUACCUCUUAGAAGGUCCCCAAGAAGAUUGAGCUCCAUUUACUCACAGCUUAUUAAUGCACACUUUCUUGACUUUACUCUCUCCCUGCUGCCCUAAGUGCAUAUAUUUAUUUCCACGCCUUCUCUCCAAAUUAAACACCCAUGCCAAGACUUUGUAGGGUCUGCCUGGGGGGGAUUUCACCUGAAGACUAUUAGAAAUCCAAGAAGGAGGUGGAUAUAACUAAUGGAAGGAUUAGUCUUUUACAAGACUAUUUGAAAGCCGUUUGCCCAAGAUCUGAAUAUGGCUAGGUUCCUAUACAUACUUAUUCCUUCUUCUGUGCCUCAUGUUCUCCUUUCCACGCGGACACACUGAUGGUGGUCAAUGAACAGUCUGAACUUUUAGCAGAAGCUACAGCAGGAUUUCUAGAUAGUGGUAGUUUGAAUAGUACUUGAUGACAAAUUGAUUACAACUAAGGGGAUCUUGAGGACUUCUCUUGAAUGUGCAUUUAUGUAGGAAGCACAUUGUUUUUCCUUCCCCAAAUGCUUAUUUUAGGUGGUUUUGGAAAAACUGGUGGAGAUUAUGAAGGGCUAGCCCAUGCGAUCUUUUGGUUGUUGUCAUUGCUCUUUAAUUGUGGUUUGUGCUCACUCAUACUUUUUCACUACCUUGGCUCAGAGUUCAAAGCAUGAGUUGUGUGACAUAGUGCAGCCAGCAGCAGGCAACGUCAAGACUGUACUCAUUUCCAAGCAAUUGUUUAAGGGAAGGUGAAAACAAAUAAUUUUCUCUCAUUUUUUUAAUGUUUGUUUAUUUAUUCUGAGAGAGAGAGGGAAAGAGAAUCGUAAGUAGGCUCUGCUCUGUCAGUACAGAACCCAGCACAGAGCUCCAUCUCAUGAAACUUGAGAUCAUGACCUGAGACAAACCCAAGAGUCAGAUGCUUAACAGACUAAGCCCCCCAGGUGCCCUCUCUCAUGUUUUGAUGAGAUAAAGGCACAAAUCUUCUUGCGUACAUUGUAUCCCAUUUCACAGUAAUUUGUCCUUUGCAGGAAAUAUCCAGAAUUUGGUUCUUCUUGCUGAGCCGUUAUUCAGUAAUUUUAAAUCAGUGGAAUCAUUUAUGUGCAUAAGAUUUUUUAGCCUAACUAAAGAGUUAACUCAAACACCUAAAAAUACCCCCAUUCUCACAUUACUAAAAUGGCAGUAUUCUUAUCAGUGACUCACAUGAAGUCUCAGGAGACUAAUACAUUUCCAUACGGUACUCAUAAUCAUACUAACAUUUCAUAAAUAAAUAGUUCUAUAUUUUUAAGAUAAAUAGGCAACAUUUGCUUUUGAAUAUAUUCUCCAAUUUUCAGUACUUGUUUUCUUUUGUCAAAUGGAGAAAUGGAAAAAGAACAAGUUUCUGAAAUAAUGGGGACAAAUAAUGCCAAUUUCUUAUUUAAAAAAUUUUUUUAACGUUUAUUUACUUUUGAGGCAGAGAGAGACAGAGCAUGAACGGGGGGAGGGUCAGAGAGAGAGGGAGACACAGAAUCCGAAGUAGGCUCCAGGCUCUGAGCCGUCAGCACAGAGCCCGAUGUGGGGCUUGAACUCACAGACCGUGAGAUCAUGACCUGAGCCAAAGUCAGCCGCCCAACCGACUGAGCCACCCAGGUGCCCCGCCAAUUUCUUAUUUUAAGAACUUCUUUUUAAAGCAUUGCCCAUUAAAAAACACAAUGAUGUGGCAGCUGGGUGUCUCAGUCAUUUAAGCACACGACUUCCAUUCAGGUCAUAAUCUCACAGUUCAUGAAUUCAAGACUCACAUCAGGCUCUCUGCUGUUAGAGCCUGCUUCAGAUCCUCUGUCUCCCUCUCUCUCUGCCUCUCCCCUGCCUGUUCUCUCUCUCUCUCUGUCUCACAAAUAAAUAAACAUUAAAAAAACACAUAACCGUGUAGAAUAUUUAUGUACAUCUUUAAUAACAGAGAUGUAGGAUACCAAGGCUGCAUGUCACCUGUGCCUGCAUAUGCACCCUCUGAAAGGUUUGGAAGUCACUCAUCAGGUGGUGAAGGAUAAUAAGCAAAAGGCUUCAUGGCUAGCCGAAGCUCCUGGCUCUUUCUUUGGGUGAAGGCAGAGUGAUGAGAACCUCUCUGUAGAAGAGGACACUCUGCAAACAUCUAGCUGUUUUCAUAGAAGAGAAUGUUCUCACAGACUGGCCUGAGGCGCUCCUCUUUGAAUCUAUAAAGCUUUCGGCAUUUUUCUUUUUGCUUUUUUCUGGCCCUGGCUCUUCCACCUCUAGGGGGCAGACCGCUCUGUCCUCUCUAGUGAAAUGUCUGCAGACCGCAUCAAGCUGCAUCUAAUUUGAUUUUAAAUCAUAUCAUCAUAGGUGUUAAAUGAUGUGCGUGCUUAUCUGGCUUUCCAGCACUUCUCUCUGUGACCCUUUCACAGCUCAGCAACGUGUAAACUAUAAGACCUACUUAAACUAAUAUAAAUUCAAAAGUUUUUAUUCAUGGACCUUUGGUUGAAAUCUCAUCAAACUAAAAACUUAAAAGUCCUGGUGGGAAAAAAGAAAUUUGGCUAUCUGAGUCUUUAGUAGCCUAUCUUUAGUUAUUAUAAACGUAAUUUCUGGGGCGCCUAGUGGCUCAGUCGGUUGGGUGGCCGACUACAGCUCAGGUCAUGAUCUCGCGGUCUGUGAGUUCAAGCCCCGCACUGGGCUCUGUGCUGACAGCUCAGAGCCUGGAUCCUGCUUCCAAUUCUGUGCCUCCCUCUCUCUUUGCCCCUUCCCUGCUUGCUCUCUCUCUCUGUCUCUCAAAAAUAAUAAACAUUAAAAAUUUUUUUAUAAAGUAAUUUCUAUUUGUUGUAAAAAAUUUUAACACUACAGAAAAGAAAGUUUAAAAAUGUCUAUGAUCCCAAUAUCCAGACAUAACACUGAAAACAUUUUGGUGUAUAUUUUAGCUAAUUAGAUUUAAUUGUAAAAUGCUUUUCAUGAGUAAUUAGAUUGUAUUUAGUAUUAGUAAUUUCAAAAUUCACUUCUUUUUUAUUGAAAUACUGUUGACAUAUAACACUGUACAAAUUUAAGGUGGCCAAGAUGUUGAUUUGAUACAUUUAUAUGUUGCAGUAUGAUUGCAUUGUAGCCCUAGCUAAAAUUUCUAUUCCUUCACAUAAUUAUCAGUUCUUUUUUUGUGUUGGGAGUAAUUAAGAUCCAGUUAAUUAGCUAGUUUGAUGCUCAUAAUACAGUAUUGUUAUCUAUAGUCACUAUGCUGUGCAUUGAAUCCCCAGGAUUUAUUUAAUAGUUGCAAGUUUGUACCCUUCAACCACACCACCCUCAACCCCAUCUGAUAAGCCCCAUUUUACUCUUUUUUAUGAGUUGACUUGUUCAGAUUCCACAUGUAAAUGAUAUUAUACAGUAUUUGUCUUUCUCUGACUACUUCACGUAAUAAUCCACAAGGCCCAGCCAUGUUGCUCCAAAUGCUGGGAUUUCCUUCUUUCCCGUGGCUGAAUAACAUCCCAUUAUAUACGCAUACUGCUUUCAUACUGCACUCCUCAACAAAGUAUUAAUACCAACAUCUUGAAAAAGCCACUGCAUACUUUUUAUAGCUAUAUUUACUAUUCUCACUGAACUGCUGGAAUGAGGUUGUAUUAGAGUGGAAAAUACACAUCCUUAAAUGUACCUGAAAAGUUGAUUAUCUGAAUCUGAGACGCUCCACAGUCCUCAGAGCACGUGAACACCCUGACUCUGGACAUGACUCUGCAUCACUUGCUCUUUGACUGGAUUCCUUUUCAAGUAUCAACUCUAAACAUGAGCUAAGAGUAUUCAGUACUUAUUUGUAUUAAGUUCUUCAGUAUCAUGGAGACUAAAAUUAGGUUUCCUCUGUCAGUCUUGUGGUGUUGUUUGACCUUGACCUGCAUGUCAAAUUGUUGAGAAGGUAGCAAGCUGACUUUUCCGUAGGCACAUCAGAAAUAGUAGGUGAAAAACAUAUUAAGUGAUGUUGGGAUUUUCUAUUUCAUUUAUUACUGUAAUUACUUCUCUUUCUUGUCAAUAACAAGCUAGACUUAACAUUUAUAUAAAAUUCAUUAAAAAUAUAACAAAAGGAAAUAAAAAAUUAAACCGAUAGAAAAACUAGAAAAUUUGCACUUAUUGAAACACCAGAUUUAUAGAUUUUAUAGGAUAUUUUGUAUAAUAUUGAUAACUCUGGAAUAUUCCCAAUCAUCCCAUUCCUAACCACCUGAAUGAACUCAUAAUUUACUAAAAAUUACCGUGUAUAAAAAAAUUCUGAAAGCAUAUUACCUAGAACUAAACUGGAAAAAAACCUCAUGGUUAACCAUUUUAUCACUUAAAGGAUAUUGAUUUGCAUAAUUCAUAAUCUUUCACUGUAUCUUUAAUGUUUAUGUUUUACCAUAACUUAUUUUUGCUCAUGAGAUAUAGGGAUUCACAUUUACUAUGUUCUUUAUAUUACAUAGAAAAAAAAGAAA